This 253-nucleotide ribosomal RNA is filed under the name uncultured bacterium. RNAcentral describes it as "partial 16S ribosomal RNA". It matches the Rfam family "Bacterial small subunit ribosomal RNA", at positions 524 to 776 of the family's 1533-position model. The record is from RNAcentral.
UACGGGGGGGGCAAGCGUUGUUCGGAAUUACUGGGCGUAAAGGGUGCGUAGGUGGUGAGGUAAGUCGGAUGUGAAAUCUCCGGGCUCAACCCGGAAAUGGCAUUGGAAACUACCUUGCUGGAGGAUUUGAGGGGGGAUUGGAAUACUUGGUGUAGCAGUGAAAUGCGUAGAUAUCAGGUGGAACACCAGUGGCGAAGGCGAAUCCCUGGAAAAUACCUGACACUGAGGCACGAAAGCUAGGGGAGCAAACAGG